Cercocebus atys (sooty mangabey) is the source of this 691-nucleotide RNA transcript. It is a transcript of the gene named 60S ribosomal protein L12 pseudogene, with no coding region annotated. The transcript has a single exon. NCBI's taxonomy places the organism in Eukaryota, Metazoa, Chordata, Mammalia, Primates, Cercopithecidae. The record is from RefSeq and is a predicted model, not a curated record.
GACUGGAUAAAGAAAAUGUGGUACGUGUACACUAUAGAAUACUAUACAACUAGCUCUUGGUUUUCGGCUCGGAGGAGGCCAAGGUGCAACUUUCUUCAGUCGUCCCGAAUCCGGGUUCAUCUGACACCAGCCGCCUCCACCAUGCCGCUGAAGUUCGACCCCAACGAGAUCAAAGUCUUAUACCUGAGGUGCACCGGACGCAAGGUCGGUGCCACUUCUGCCCUGGCCCCCAAGAUCGGCCCCCUGGGUCUGUCUCCGAGAAAGGUUAGUGAUGACAUUGCCAAGGCAACGGGUGACUGGAAGGGCCUGAGGAGUACAAUGAAACUGACCAUUCAGAACAGACAGGCCCAGAUUGAGGUGGUGCCUUCUGCCUCUGCCCUGAUCAUCAAAGCCCUCAAGGAACCACCAAGAGACAGAAAGAAACAGAAAAACAUUAAACACAGUGGGAAUAUCACUUUUGAUGAGAUCGUCAACAUUGCUCGACAGAUGCGGCACUGAUCCUUAGCCAGAGAACUCUCUGGAAUCAUUAAAGAGAUCCUGGGGACUGCCCAGUCUGUGGGCUGUAAUGCUGAUGGCCGCCACCCUCAUGACAUCAUAGAUGACAUCAACAAACAGUGGUGCUGUGGAAUGCCCAGCCAGUUAAGCACAAAGGAAAGUAUUUCAAUAAAGGAUCAUUUGACCAAAAAAAAAA